Molecule: ribosomal RNA, 253 nt
Filed under: uncultured bacterium
Lineage: Bacteria
Description: partial 16S ribosomal RNA
Rfam family: Bacterial small subunit ribosomal RNA
Source: RNAcentral
UACGUAGGGUGCUAGCGUUGUCCGGAUUUAUUGGGCGUAAAGAGCUCGUAGGCGGCUUUGUAAGUCGGGUGUGAAAACCCAGGCUCAACCUGGGGACGCCACUCGAUACUGCAAUAGCUAGAGUCUGGUAGGGGAUCACGGAAUUCCUGGUGUAGCGGUGAAAUGCGCAGAUAUCAGGAGGAACACCGGUGGCGAAGGCGGUGAUCUGGGCCAGUACUGACGCUGAGGAGCGAAAGCGUGGGGAGCAAACAGG